GUUUCAGACACUGUGAUGGAUGCCACGUUUUUAUGACAAGAAUUUUAACAGCUCUUCCUCAGCACUCGAUGCACACCCAAUUAUGCGUCUGAGCUAGUAACCUUGAAUUUAUGUUGCCAUGGUGACAAACUGGUCAUGCAUUAUGGAUUCUCACUGAAAUUCUACACCCCUACCUAGCAUAAUGAGAGUGGGGACUUAAUCAAAUCAGCCAUUCUGUGUGACACACAGUGAAGAACCAGCUCUCAUUGUUCAGCGUGGAGAAAGGAAGCAGGCCUGCAGGGAAGCAGCUGCGGAGCCCCAGCCUGAUAGAUGGCCCUUACAUACAUUUGUGGACGUAUAGACAGAUGGUGCUCAGUGCCCGCAGUUUUCAGUCCAGGCAGCAGCUGUUCGGAUAACCUCUGCCGUCUCACCUUGUUGUCAUGGAACACUGAACAGAGCCUGAGAAUGUAAGGAAGACAGGCAGCAUCAGGGUGGUAAUCUUUGCCUCGGAGGAAUUCAGUUUGCUGCUGUUUUCAGAGCCUAGAAGUCAUAGGGAGAACUUGUCCUCGGAUGCAGUUUGAGCUUCCUCCUACCCGUAGGUAACUCUCGUCUUAGCUUUCUCUCGGCUGGUCACACAGACAAAAUACCAGCUGCUUGAGGUCAAAGGAGCAGGCUGGCUGUCAGGGCAGCUUCUGACCAGAGAGGAGAGGACACUGCCUUCCCGGGGCCCCUCUCUUCCCUGAAUGUGGUGAGUAUAAACUAGCGAGUACCAGCCAUGGCGAGCUCCUGGUUGGAGGACUGUGCCCAUGGAUGGGCUUGUCAAAGGAUCUUUCUCUCUGCUAGAAAUUGCUGAAUGCAUGCAGUGGUUCAGAUAAGCAGCUGCUUUGGGUAGAACGCCAAGCUCCAAGCCUCAGGGUCCAUGCUUGUUUCUCAAGCAAGGACGGAGGACUCGGGAUUGUGCUUGCGUUGCACCUGCUCCUCCUCUCACCUCCCACCCCCACCGAUGCCUGAUAAGGCUACGGUCAUUAAUGUGCUAUGACAUCCAUUGGCAAACAUUCUAGCUAUUGGCUUCUUUCAGCUGAUGUUUUCUAUGUGCUUGGUUUUGUUAAUCCUGUUCAUUAUUCUUCCUAGCUUUCCAACCUCAACAUUUAAAACUGCCUCAGCCGUUGGACUUGGAAUGCUUACCCAUGUGUGAGUGGAAGGAAGCUGUUCUUACAUUUUUCAUGAGCCUUUGGGUGUCUUGCCCGGUGCGGCGACCUCCAUGACUGCAGUAUAUCACACCAAUCUUUAAAAUUUCAAGUGUAUCAGCAAAUGUGAAGCUUGAGCCAUGGAAAUCUGACAAUUAGGAUGAAAAGAGUUUCUUCACCCACCUAAUAUUGUUUUGUUUGACUCUGUCAUUCAACUAAUUCUAUUAAAUGGUCUAAUAAAAAUUAACUAAGUGUGAUUUCUUUAUUUAUAAUAACUUUAAGUUGUUUAUUAUUGGAAAAUGUGAUAAACAGAUCUUUAGAUAAAAUAUAUAUAUUUUCUAAAUUAUUUAUUUGAAAGGCAAAGAGACAGGGACAGAUGGAGAGGGAAAGAGAUAUAGACAGACAGAGAGCACCUAUCUGCCGGUCCACCCACCCAAACAUCCCCCCUCUCUGCCAAACAGCUGAAAUGCUGGGACUGAGCAAGACCAAAACCAGGAGGCAUGAACUCAAUCCAGGUCUCCCAAGGAAAUGGCGGGGCCUAAGCACCUGAACUGGAAUCAGGAGUCGGAGCCAGGUGCUCAGAUGAGAAAUACUAACUCCUGUUCCAAAAAUACGUUUUCAUUAAAUAUUUGCUUAAUUUCCCUA
Molecule: non-coding RNA, 1811 nt
Organism: Oryctolagus cuniculus (rabbit)
Lineage: Eukaryota; Metazoa; Chordata; Mammalia; Lagomorpha; Leporidae
Source: RefSeq, a predicted model, not a curated record